This is a non-coding RNA of Helianthus annuus (common sunflower), 79 nucleotides long. The record is from Rfam. NCBI's taxonomy places the organism in Eukaryota, Viridiplantae, Streptophyta, Magnoliopsida, Asterales, Asteraceae.
AGGAGCCGUAUGAGAUGAAAAUCUCAUGUACGGUUCUGCAAUAGGGAUGAGAAUAUGUGAUGUUAUCAUCUACUAUGAU